CAGUGCUUAGUGAUUCAUAUUGGAAGGAAAAAGCAGAAAUUGCUGCAAAGGCAAACGAAGAAGCUUAUACUCCUGAUCCUUAUGCGGUAUCCGGCAACCUGACUUCCACUAUUAGCGAGUGAGCAUAAUGCCAAUUACCAUAAUUACCAUUAAUAUGUUCGAAUUCAUAGGAGAAAGAGAUCAAAGGAGAAAUCUCUUUGAGAAAAUAUUUUCUAUUUUUAAUUUUAUUUAUAUUCUAAUUGCAUAACUGCAUUCCUUGUUUACACUAAAAUGAAAACAAAGAGACAACUUUGUAUUAAAUAUGAAACCAUAAAAUGAAAUAAGGAAACAUUUUCUCAAAUCAAUCCAACACUCAAUGGUUAUAUAUUACAUUUUUUAUUUCUAUCAUAGAAUUAAUUAGAAGCUCGUUCAUAUUUUAAUAUUUAUAUUGGUUUGACAUACAGAAUGAUAAUUGGUGGCAAGAAAGGAAGAAGGAAUCUCCGAGGACGUAAAACAGCUGGUCCAUGCAUGGCUACAAACCCCAUUGACAGGUGUUGGAGGUGCGAUCCUAACUGGGCAAACAAUCGCAAGAAGCUUGCAGAUUGUGUGCAGGGUUUCGGAAGGAAGACAACCGGUGGAAAGGCUGGUCCUUUCUAUGUGGUAACUGAUCCCUCAGAUAGUGACAUGGUGAAUCCACGUCCAGGUACCCUUAGGCACGCAGUUACAAGAAAUGGUCCUUUGUGGAUCAUUUUUGCUCGUAGCAUGAACAUUAGGCUCAACCAAGAGCUCAUAAUGACGAGCGACAAGACCAUUGACGGUCGAGGAGCUGAUAUUGUCAUUGCUAAUGGGGCUGGUAUUACUAUCCAGUACAUCAGGAAUGUGAUCAUCCAUGGGAUCAAAGUUUUUGACAUUGUGGUUGGUAGUGGUGGACUUGUUAGAGAUUCUGAGAACCAUUAUGGUCUAAGGACAAUGAGUGAUGGGGAUGGAAUUUCAAUUUUUGGCUCCAGCAAUAUUUGGAUUGACCAUGUUUCCAUGAGAAACUGCAGAGAUGGACUCAUUGAUGCCAUUAUGGGAUCCACUGCUAUUACCAUCUCCAAUAGCCAUUUCACAGAUCACAACGAGGUAAAUUAGUAAUUUGAUAGUUUCUUUCAUGUGUUUUUGCUUAUAAAUAUUUUUUUUAUUCCUAGGUUUAAAAUGAAAAAUAUUACCUGAUUUUCGGGUUUUUGGUUAAUGUGUAUGUGGUGUGGUGUAGGUAAUGCUGUUUGGUGCAAGUGAUGGAUAUGAUGCUGAUCAGAAAAUGCAGAUCACAGUUGCAUUCAACCACUUCGGUAAGAGAUUAAUCCAAAGGAUGCCAAGGUGCAGAUUUGGUUUUAUCCAUGUGGUUAACAAUGACUACACUCACUGGGAAAUGUAUGCCAUUGGUGGUAGCAAACAUCCUACCAUUAUCAGUGAGGGUAACCGAUUCAUAGCCCCUGACAACGGCUAUGCUAAAGAGGUAUGCAUCUAUUCAUGAGUCACGCUUAUCCAUAUAAAUAUAUGCAUUACAAUUAUAGCUAUGCCUUGGUUAAAGUACUCAAUUUUGUCUACGCUACCAAUUUCCCUCUCAGUUGGAUACUCUUUUGAAUAAUAGAAUAUGAUAAGAUACAGUCGCAGAGAGAAAGACACAAAAAUAUCAUAUAUCUACCAUGAUCGAAUGCAGGGUUCAUUAGUUAUAUAUUUUUAUAUAAACAAAUGUCUUUCUCUAUCUAAUAGACAUUGAACUUUCAUUGUACUUUCAAAUGACAUGAUUUAACAAAACAAAGAAAUAAAAAGAAAUCAUGAAAACUAUAUGUCUGACAUAAUUUGCUGGUUUUGGUGUUUUGAAGAUAACAAAGAGGGAGUACUCACCAGAAUCAGAGUGGAAAAACUGGCAAUGGAGAUCAAUCAACGACGUGUACAUGAACGGAGCAUUUUUCAGACAAGGUGGAUCUGAGCUGACUAACAGACCAUUCUCAAAGAAGGACAUGAUCACAGCUAAG
RNAcentral lists this long non-coding RNA (1997 nucleotides) under Cicer arietinum (chickpea). Its description in RNAcentral is "long non-coding RNA (CARI_LNC000442)". The record is from RNAcentral. Lineage: Eukaryota; Viridiplantae; Streptophyta; Magnoliopsida; Fabales; Fabaceae.